This is a non-coding RNA of Schizosaccharomyces pombe (fission yeast), 746 nucleotides long. The record is from the annotation of a GenBank genome assembly. NCBI's taxonomy places the organism in Eukaryota, Fungi, Ascomycota, Schizosaccharomycetes, Schizosaccharomycetales, Schizosaccharomycetaceae.
AGUGAGUAAAGAGGAUUGAGUGUUAUAAAGUAAGGCGCUAGAUUCCGCUGACAAUGUGCUAACAGAGUCGACAACAAAUGCAGUCUCAUUUUUAAGAGAGGGAGAUUUGGAAUUAACGCCUUUUGGUGAAACAGCUAAAGAGCAAGGGCCCACUGAUAGAGAAUAUGAACAGGCAGCUAAUAUUUUAGGUUCUAUACUUGAAGAUGAAGUGGGAGUAUGAGCAGUAAGUUGUUCCUCAUUGGAAGAAACUAACAUACUGGGUAGACAGGUAUUUGAAAAUAAUGAGAAGGAAAGAGUAGAAAAGCUCUUCACAGUCGAUGAAGUUGCAGCUCAAAGUUCAGUGAAUUAUUAAAAAAAUGAUACUGAAGAAAAAAUAAUUGGACAUAAACAGGCUCAGAUUGCUUGUUAAGAGGUAGUGGUCAAAGCGAAUAGUGUUUAACUAACUGAAAGCGAUACAACGGCGGAAAAUUAAGGGACGAUUUAAAAAGGAAGAAAAAAAAAGAGUGAGGUGACGAUUAAAAAAAAGGGAAAAAUUACUGGGUUUUCAAGGACGCUAAAGAGAUAUCAAUAAUGGAAGGGGUAAUAUAAAGGAAUCGAAAGAGUAAAUUGCAAAGGACUUGUAAAAAGCCAAGACGAAAGAACCCAAUAAUAUAUAGUGAAAAAAGGCUAUAUAAAUAUUAAAAGAAUGCAAAAUGAAGCGGAAGAAAUUAGAUGCGAUAAAUAUAUGUUUCCAAAAAGGUUCGGUG